Molecule: transfer RNA, 19 nt
Filed under: Diadema setosum
Lineage: Eukaryota; Metazoa; Echinodermata; Echinoidea; Diadematoida; Diadematidae
Description: partial tRNA-Lys
Source: RNAcentral
UAAACUCUACUAUUAAGGA